GACGAACCGAGCGAACGUUGUUCGGAAUCACUGGGCUUAAAGGGUGCGUAGGCGGGCUGCCAAGUUUGGGGUGAAAUCCUCCGGCUCAACCGGGGAAGUGCCUUGAAUACUGGCGGUCUCGAGGGAGGUAGGGGCGUGCGGAACCAACGGUGGAGCGGUGAAAUGCGUUGAUAUCGUUGGGAACUCCGGUGGCGAAGGCGGCACGCUGGACCUUUUCUGACGCUGAGGCACGAAAGCCAGGGGAGCGAACGGG
This 253-nucleotide ribosomal RNA is filed under the name uncultured bacterium. RNAcentral describes it as "partial 16S ribosomal RNA". It matches the Rfam family "Bacterial small subunit ribosomal RNA", at positions 524 to 776 of the family's 1533-position model. The record is from RNAcentral.